RNAcentral lists this ribosomal RNA (544 nucleotides) under uncultured bacterium. Its description in RNAcentral is "bacterial SSU rRNA". It matches the Rfam family "Bacterial small subunit ribosomal RNA", at positions 777 to 1319 of the family's 1533-position model. The record is from RNAcentral.
AAUAGAUACCCGGGUAGUCCACCCCGUAAACGUUGGGAACUAGUUGUGGGGUCCUUUCCACGGAUUCCGUGACGCAGCUAACGCAUUAAGUUCCCCGCCUGGGGAGUACGGCCGCAAGGCUAAAACUCAAAGGAAUUGACGGGGACCCGCACAAGCGGCGGAGCAUGCGGAUUAAUUCGAUGCAACGCGAAGAACCUUACCAAGGCUUGACAUACACCAGAACACCCUAGAAAUAGGGGACUCUUUGGACACUGGUGAACAGGUGGUGCAUGGUUGUCGUCAGCUCGUGUCGUGAGAUGUUGGGUUAAGCCCCGCAACGAGCGCAACCCUCGUUCUAUGUUGCCAGCACGUAAUGGUGGGAACUCAUGGGAUACUGCCGGGGUCAACUCGGAGGAAGGUGGGGAUGACGUCAAAUCAUCAUGCCCCUUAUGUCUUGGGCUUCACGCAUGCUACAAUGGCCGGUACAAAGGGCUGCAAUACCGUGAGGUGGAGCGAAUCCCAAAAAGCCGAUCCCAGUUCGGAUUGAGGUCUGCAACUCGACCUC